This 277-nucleotide ribosomal RNA is filed under the name uncultured bacterium. RNAcentral describes it as "partial 16S ribosomal RNA". It matches the Rfam family "Bacterial small subunit ribosomal RNA", at positions 30 to 305 of the family's 1533-position model. The record is from RNAcentral.
AUUGAACGCUGGCGGCGUGCCUAACACAUGCAAGUCGAGCGGUAACAGGUGUAGCAAUACAUGCUGACGAGCGGCGAACGGGUGAGUAAUGCUUCGGAAUCUACCUUAUGGUGGGGAAUAACUAGCCGAAAGGUUAGCUAAUACCGCAUACGUCCUACGGGAGAAAGCAGGGGAUCGUAAGACCUUGCGCCAAAAGAUGAGCCGAAGUCGGAUUAGCUAGUUGGUAGGGUAACGGCCUACCAAGGCGACGAUCCGUAGCUGGUCUGAGAGGACGACC